This 475-nucleotide ribosomal RNA is filed under the name uncultured bacterium. Its description in RNAcentral is "bacterial SSU rRNA". It matches the Rfam family "Bacterial small subunit ribosomal RNA", at positions 335 to 801 of the family's 1533-position model. The record is from RNAcentral.
ACUCCUACGGGAGGCAGCAGUAGGGGAAUCUUCCACAAUGGGCGGACCAAGCCUGAUGGAGCAACACCGCGUGAGUGAAGAAGGGUUCGGCUCGUAAAGCUCUGUUGUUAAAGAAGAACACGUAUGAGAGUAACUGUUCAUACGUUGACGGUAUUUAACCAGAAAGUCACGGCUAACUACGUGCCAGCAGCCGCGGUAAUACGUAGGUGGCAAGCGUUAUCCGGAUUUAUUGGGCGUAAAGAGAGUGCAGGCGGUUUUCUAAGUCUGAUGUGAAAGCCUUGGCUUAACCGGAGAAGUGCAUCGGAAACUGGAUAACUUGAGUGCAGAAGAGGGUAGUGGAACUCCAUGUGUAGCGGUGGAAUGCGUAGAUAUAUGGAAGAACACCAGUGGCGAAGGCGGCUACCUGGUCUGCAACUGACGCUGAGACUCGAAAGCAUGGGUAGCGAACAGGAUUAGAUACCCUGGUAGGAUAGCG